CUGCCCACUUUGGCAGCACACGUACUGAAAUUGGAAGAUUAGCAUGGCCUCUGCACAAGGAUGACAUCCAAAUUCAUGAAGCAGUCCAUAUAUUC
Small nuclear RNA from Loxodonta africana (African savanna elephant), 95 nucleotides. Lineage: Eukaryota; Metazoa; Chordata; Mammalia; Proboscidea; Elephantidae. The record is from Ensembl.